UUGAAUUGAAUUUAAGUCUAGUGAGUUGCAAUGUUGAGAGAAAAGAGAUAUAAUUUGUUGGUUUGCAGUGUGAUGUGCCCAAAGGGGAAGUGGUGGACAUAGUUUGAAGCCAAAUCCAUCCCCAAGGAAAGGGCAAAUUAAAGUACCAUAUGCAUAUGCAUAUGCCUAUGCCUGCACUUUCAAAACGCGACUCAGUACUCCCAUCUCAUCAUCUCUCACGUUUCAUCUUUCU
RNAcentral lists this long non-coding RNA (232 nucleotides) under Glycine max (soybean). Its description in RNAcentral is "long non-coding RNA (GMAX_LNC002324)". Lineage: Eukaryota; Viridiplantae; Streptophyta; Magnoliopsida; Fabales; Fabaceae. The record is from RNAcentral.